CAGGGAUUGCCCAGUAACGGCGAGUGAAGCGGCAAGAGCUCAAAUUUGAAAGCUGGCUCCUUCGGGGUCCGCAUUGUAAUUUGCAGAGGAUGCUUCGGGAGCGGUCCCCAUCUAAGUGCCCUGGAACGGGACGUCAUAGAGGGUGAGAAUCCCGUAUGGGAUGGGGUGUCCGCGCCCGUGUGAAGCUCCUUCGACGAGUCGAGUUGUUUGGGAAUGCAGCUCUAAAUGGGUGGUAAAUUUCAUCUAAAGCUAAAUAUUGGCCGGAGACCGAUAGCGCACAAGUAGAGUGAUCGAAAGAUGAAAAGCACUUUGAAAAGAGAGUUAAAAAGCACGUGAAAUUGUUGAAAGGGAAGCGCUUGCGACCAGACUCGCUCGCGGGGUUCAGCCGGCAUUCGUGCCGGUGUACUUCCCCGCGAGCGGGCCAGCGUCGGUUUGGGCGGUCGGUCAAAGGCCUCUGGAAGGUAACGCCCCCUCGGGGGCGUCUUAUAGCCAGGGGUGCAAUGCGGCCUGCCCGGACCGAGGAACGCGCUUCGGCUCGGACGCUGGCAUAAUGGUCGUAAGCGACCCGUCUUGAAACACGGACCAAGGAGUCUAACAUCUACGCGAGUGUUCGGGUGUCAAACCCGUGCGCGAAGUGAAAGCGAACGGAGGUGGGAACCCGCAAGGGUGCACCAUCGACCGAUCCUGAAGUCUUCGGAUGGAUUUGAGUAAGAGCGUAGCUGUUGGGACCCGAAAGAUGGUGAACUAUGCCUGAAUAGGGCGAAAGCCAGAGGAAACUCUGGUGGAGGCUCGUAGCGGUUCUGACGUGCAAAAUCGAUCGUC
This 822-nucleotide ribosomal RNA is filed under the name Penicillium brevicompactum. RNAcentral describes it as "partial large subunit ribosomal RNA". It matches the Rfam family "Eukaryotic large subunit ribosomal RNA", at positions 69 to 906 of the family's 3401-position model. Lineage: Eukaryota; Fungi; Ascomycota; Eurotiomycetes; Eurotiales; Aspergillaceae. The record is from RNAcentral.